GCAGCUGUAGUGUAAUGGCAGCAUCCGAGCUUCCCAAGCUCGUAGCCCGGGUUCGAGUCCCGGCAGCUGCA
RNAcentral lists this transfer RNA (71 nucleotides) under Candidatus Iainarchaeum sp. Its description in RNAcentral is "tRNA-Gly". It matches the Rfam family "tRNA". Rfam says of the family: Transfer RNA (tRNA) molecules are approximately 80 nucleotides in length. Their secondary structure includes four short double-helical elements and three loops (D, anti-codon, and T loops). The record is from RNAcentral. Lineage: Archaea; Nanobdellati; Candidatus Iainarchaeota; Candidatus Iainarchaeia; Candidatus Iainarchaeales; Candidatus Iainarchaeaceae.